Molecule: ribosomal RNA, 376 nt
Filed under: uncultured Nitrospirota bacterium
Lineage: Bacteria; Pseudomonadati; Nitrospirota
Description: bacterial SSU rRNA
Rfam family: Bacterial small subunit ribosomal RNA
Source: RNAcentral
AAUAAGCCCCGGCUAACUACGUGCCAGCAGCCGCGGUAAUACGUAGGGGGCGAGCGUUGUCCGGAGUUACUGGGCGUAAAGAGCGUGUAGGCGGUUGAAAAAGUCAGGUGUGAAAUUCUUCGGCUCAACCGAGGGACUGCGCCUGAAACUUUUCGACUGGAGUUUGGGGGGGGCAACUGGAAUUCCUGGUGUAACGGUGAAAUGUGUAGAUAUCAGGAGGAACACCCGUGGCGAAGGCGGGUUGCUGGACCAAAGCUGACGCUGAGACGCGAAAGCGUGGGUAGCAAACAGGAUUAGAUACCCUGGUAGUCCACGCUGUAAACGAUGAGUGCUAGGUGUAGGGGGUAUCGACUCCCUCUGUGCCGCAGUUAACGCA